GGUCAGAUGGCCGAGCGGUCUAAGGCGCCACGUUAAGGUAUCAACCUUGAUUCCACUCCACCAAAAGAGUUCCGUGGUCUCGUAAGGGGCGUGAGUUCGAAUCUCACUCUGAUCA
Transfer RNA from Podospora anserina, 115 nucleotides. It matches the Rfam family "tRNA". Rfam says of the family: Transfer RNA (tRNA) molecules are approximately 80 nucleotides in length. Their secondary structure includes four short double-helical elements and three loops (D, anti-codon, and T loops). Further hydrogen bonds mediate the characteristic L-shaped molecular structure. tRNAs have two regions of fundamental functional importance: the anti-codon, which is responsible for specific mRNA codon recognition, and the 3' end, to which the tRNAs corresponding amino acid is attached (by aminoacyl-tRNA synthetases). tRNAs cope with the degeneracy of the genetic code in two manners: having more than one tRNA (with a specific anti-codon) for a particular amino acid; and 'wobble' base-pairing, i.e. permitting non-standard base-pairing at the 3rd anti-codon position. Lineage: Eukaryota; Fungi; Ascomycota; Sordariomycetes; Sordariales; Podosporaceae. The record is from Rfam.